AUGCCUUAAACUGAUGAGUAAGGAAAAUAACGACGCGGGGUGACGCCCGUGUCCUCGUACAAUUAACGAGAUUAAUUUUUGAAAGGGCACAGGUCUGCCUGCUGAGGUGACUCGCCUACUUUGCGAGAUGCCUCGUGGGACAAGGACCUUCCCC
Molecule: small nuclear RNA, 154 nt
Organism: Astatotilapia calliptera (eastern happy)
Lineage: Eukaryota; Metazoa; Chordata; Actinopteri; Cichliformes; Cichlidae
Gene: U12
Rfam family: U12 minor spliceosomal RNA
About the family: Although the U12 sequence is very divergent from that of U2, the two are functionally analogous.
Source: Ensembl